AGCGAACGCUGGCGGCAGGCUUAACACAUGCAAGUCGAACGCCAUCUUCGGAUGGAGUGGCAGACGGGUGAGUAACGCGUGGGAACGUACCCUUUGGUUCGGAAUAUUCUCGGGAAACUGGGAGCAAUACCGGAUAAGCCCUACGGGGGAAAGAUUUAUCGCCAAAGGAGCGGCCCGCGUCAGAUUAGGUAGUUGGUGGGGUAAAGGCCUACCAAGCCUACGAUCUGUAGCUGGUCUGAGAGGAUGAUCAGCCACACUGGGACUGAGACACGGCCCAGACUCCUACGGGAGGCAGCAGUGGGGAAUUUUGGACAAUGGGCGAAAGCCUGAUCCAGCAAUGCCGCGUGAGUGAUGAAGGCCUUAGGGUUGUAAGCUCUUUACCAGGGAUGAUAAUGACAGUACCUGGAGAAUAAGCUCCGGCUAACUCCGUG
This 431-nucleotide ribosomal RNA is filed under the name uncultured bacterium. RNAcentral's name for it is "bacterial SSU rRNA". It matches the Rfam family "Bacterial small subunit ribosomal RNA", at positions 29 to 507 of the family's 1533-position model. The record is from RNAcentral.